RNAcentral lists this ribosomal RNA (401 nucleotides) under uncultured bacterium. RNAcentral's name for it is "bacterial SSU rRNA". It matches the Rfam family "Bacterial small subunit ribosomal RNA", at positions 355 to 773 of the family's 1533-position model. The record is from RNAcentral.
UUGGGAAUCUUGGACAAUGGGGGAAACCCUGAUCCAGCCAUGCCGCGUGAGUGAUGAAGGCCUUCGGGUUGUAAAACUCUUUCGACGGGGACGAUAAUGACGGUACCCGUAGAAGAAGCUCCGGCUAACUUCGUGCCAGCAGCCGCGGUAAUACGGAGGGGGCUAGCGUUGCUCGGAAUUACUGGGCGUAAAGCGCACGUAGGCGGCUUUGUAAGUUAGAGGUGAAAGCCCGGGGCUCAACUCCGGAAUUGCCUUUAAGACUGCAUCGCUAGAAUUGUGGAGAGGUAAGUGGAAUUCCGAGUGUAGAGGUGAAAUUCGUAGAUAUUCGGAAGAACACCAGUGGCGAAGGCGACUUACUGGACACAUAUUGACGCUGAGGUGCGAAAGCGUGGGGAGCAAAC